Molecule: ribosomal RNA, 253 nt
Filed under: uncultured bacterium
Lineage: Bacteria
Description: partial 16S ribosomal RNA
Rfam family: Bacterial small subunit ribosomal RNA
Source: RNAcentral
UACGGAGGGUGCAAGCGUUAUCCGGAAUCACUGGGUUUAAAGGGUGCGUAGGUGGGCCGAUAAGUCAGAGGUGAAAGCCCGUUGCUUAACAACGGAAUUGCCUUUGAUACUGUCGGUCUUGAAUCAGGUUGAGGUAUGCGGAAUGUGGCAUGUAGCGGUGAAAUGCGUAGAUAUGCCAUAGAACACCGAUUGCGAAGGCAGCAUACUGGCCCUGUAUUGACACUGAGGCACGAAAGCGUGGGGAGCGAACAGG